Molecule: ribosomal RNA, 446 nt
Filed under: uncultured soil bacterium
Lineage: Bacteria
Description: bacterial SSU rRNA
Rfam family: Bacterial small subunit ribosomal RNA
Source: RNAcentral
UAGUGAUUAACGCGAAGAACCUUACCUGGGCUUGACAUGUGCGGAAAUCCUACGAAAGUAGGCUCCGGGGCAACCCGGCCGCAACACAGGUGCUGCAUGGCUGUCGUCAGCUCGUGCCGUGAGGUGUUGGGUUAAGUCCCGCAACGAGCGCAACCCUUGUCGUGUGUUGGUCCACAAGAUCUCUCACACGAGACCGCCGGUGAGAAGCCGGAGGAAGGUGGGGAUGACGUCAAGUCAGCAUGGCCCUUACGUCCAGGGCUACACACGUGCUACAAUGCGCGCGACAGCGAGCAGCGAACUCGUGAGAGUAAGCCAAUCUCUUAAACGCGCGCUCAGUUCGGAUUGAAGGCUGCAACUCGCCUUCAUGAAGUUGGAAUCGCUAGUAAUCGCGGAUCAGCACGCCGCGGUGAAUACGUUCCCGGGCCUUGUCACACCGAAUCGAAUUC